CUUUCACGCCGGGAUCCGGGUCCCGGUGCUUCUCGGUUCAUUCCCAGCUGGGUCCGGGCCCGGCCAGACUGGGUGGAAAUCUGGCUGACCUUGGUGGUCUGUCUUGGCCAGCUGGAGCAAAGGGAUGCCAGGGGACGGGUCUCGGUGCAGUGACUGCCAUUAGCUUGGGGCCGCAGAAAGUUUCUCCCCUUUCUCGGGCUCCUGCCAGGCCCUUGGCUUUCAGAGCCAGGCCCGAUUUCUAGAUAACAUUUAAGUUUGCAGAAAAGGGGAUGCCAAGUCACGGUGGUCACGGCUGUGGGAUGCAGCCUCUGAGAUUUGUAUUAAUUUUUGUGAGCCGGGGAAAGGCCUUGCUGCUUUCUCCGCCAGGACUGAUGUGUCUUCCCAAGAUGAAAGUGCCUGGUAAGGGCGAGGGGCCUCCCUGGGAAGGUCAUGAGCAUGUAAGGUAAUGGGGCCUAGACUGUGACUUUUGGCACGUUUAUGAGUGACAUCCCCCGGGAGGGCAAGGAUAACCAUUUGACCUGGUCUGUCAUAUUCAGGAAUAGACUUCAGUUUAGUUGUGGUAUUUUCUCCAAAAGAGAUUUGUGUAUAUAGCCCUAGAUAGUCUUGUCAAGAUUAAACCCAAUUUAAACUGUUAACUAUAAAAUAUUUUAGAAUUUUGUCUCAUUCUAGAAUGGCUUUAUUCGAAACAAAAAAAAAGGAAGAGUCCCAAGUUUCGUCUCAGUGAAACCUGCCAGUUCAACACUAUGAUUUAUUUUUCUUUUUUUCUUUAAUUUUUUUUUUUUUUAAGAGUAGGGUCUUGCUCUGUCGCUGGGUUUACAGGCAUAAGCCACCAAUCCCAAAUCCCGGGGCUAUGAUUUUUGAAAUCAUGUUCGUGAGAAGGCAGAGCACAUGUGUUGAGAGUCAGACUUUAAACCUGGGUUCAAAUCAUUAGUGCUUAAUCAUUGUAAAGCAGUUAGGAGGUUGCGUUCAACAUAGCAAUUAUCAAAGAAUGAAUGUAUAACUUUAAAGACCAAUGAUAUUUUAAACUUUUUUUUUUUUUUGAGAACGGAGUCUCACUCCGUUGCCCAGGCUGGAGUGCAAUGGCACGAUCUCAGCUCACUGCAACCUCCGCCUCCUGGAUUCAAGUGAUUCUCCUGCCUCAGCCUCCCCAGUAGCUGGGAUUAUAGGCAUGCGCCACCACGCCCGGCUAAUUUUGUAUUUUUAGUAUAGGCGGGGUUUCUCCAUGUUGGUCAGGCUGGUCUCAAACUCCCGACCUCAGGUGAUCCGCCCACCCAAAGUGGUGAUCGUCCUCCCAAAGCACUGGGAUUACAGGCAUGAGCCACCGCGCCUGGCCGAACUUUUUAAAUUUAUUUAUUACUAUUUUUUGAGACAGGGUCUCCCUCUGUUGCCCAGGCUGGAGUGCUGUCUCAGCUCACUGCAACCUCCGCUUCCCAUGUUUGACCAAUUCUGCCUCAGCCUCCUGAGUAGCUGGGACUGCAGGCGCCCACCACCACGCCUGGCUAAUUUUUGUAUUUUUAGUAGAGAUGGGGUUUCAUCAUGUUGGCCAGGCUGGUCUUGAACUCCUGGCCUCAAGCGGUGCUAGGCCAAAGUGCUAGGAUUACAGGUGUGAGCCACUGCACCCAGUGCCCCCAAAGUGCUAGGAUUACAGGUGUGAGCCACUGCACUCAGCCUUAAACAUUUUUUUAAUUAAAGCAACCUAAGGUAAAAUUUUUUAACCAAAUUUAACCCAUUCCCAAUCAGAUUGAAUAAAUGCCUAGCAGCUUAUGUGUUGUGCUAAAACACGAUAUAUUAUCUGCCAAUAAAAAACAGUAUUUUGUAUUUAUAUAGUUUUAUUACCAAGAAGCUUACUCAGCUUUAUGAUUUCCCCUUUGUAAUCUGAUUAACCUUCAUAGUAUCUUGAAGUAAUGUAUAGUGUAGCAAUCAGACACUUAGGUAGUGACUUCGUGAGCUCUGACAAUGAGUCAAUAUAAUGCAAGAGGCUAUGUAUGAAGUCCAACCUGGGUGCGUCCACACCACACCAAGAGGACAAGUUAAAAUUACCAUAUGGCCAAAAAUUAAUAUUUUCUGACUUAUUUUUGUUUACCAUUCCAACCAUAGUACUGUAUAAAAUGUUUGCUAUUCAUUAUAGACCCAGGAAUGGAAUAUUCCUAAUAUUAAAACAAAAAUUUCAACAGCUAUAGAAAAUGAAAGUGAGUGUGAGAUAGAGAUACUGGACAUAAUGUUCUAUAGGUUUUAAAAGACUUAAGUAGAAGAAAUGGAAACAAUGUCUUUACUUCUUGGCAGUGGAGUGGUAACAGCUAAUGGCUCUUUCUACCUGGCAUGCAGCUUCCUGUAACGACUAUUAUUAAUAGAGCCAGGCUGAUCGUGAGGCGCCAGAAAAGGUGUAUGGUGGAAUUUAACUACAAUGGCUUGUAUUGCCUGGAUAUACCCUUUGGUAUGCCUAUUUUACUAGAAAUGUUUGAAAAUAGGAAAAAGCUCACUCAAAAGAUAAGCUGCCAGUGGGACUUGAAGAGGCUCCCAUUACAUUCCUCUUCCCUGGAGAUGUUUUAUUCCCCUCCUCUCCUCCAGUGUUCAGUCUCAUGCUCAGCAUUGCAAGGGUUACAAAGGUGACUACUUAAGACACAGAGUUUGCCCUUGAAGAACUUGCAGGAUAACAAGGGCCAUAAGAAAGUAUUAAGUGUCGGCUGGGUUCGGUGGCUCACGCCUGUAAUCCAGCACUUUGGGAGGCCGAGGCGGGCGGAUCACGAGGUCAGCUGAUCAAGACCAUCCUGGCUAACACGGUGAAAUCCUGUCUACUAAAAAUACAAAAAAUUAGCUGGUCGUGGUGGCGGGGACCUAUAGUCCAAGCUACUCGAGAGGUUGAGGCAGGAGAAUCGUUUGAACCUGAGAGGCAGAGCUUGCAGUGAGCCGAGAUCACGCCACUGCACUCCAGCCUGGGUGACGGAGCAAGACUCAGUCUCAAAAAAAGAAAAGAAAAAAAAAACAACUUCCCAGCACUUGGGAGGCCGAGGUAGGUGGAUCACCUGAGGUCAGGAGUUUGAGAGCAGCCUGGGCAACAUAGUGAAAACUUGUCUCUACUAAUAACACAAAAAUUAGCCGAGUGUGGUGGUGGGCACCUGUAAUCCCAGCUACUUGGGAAGCUGAGGCAGGAGAAUCGCUUGCACCUGGGAGCAAGAGAUUGGGCCACUGCACUCCAGCCUGCACAACAGAGGGAGACUCUGUCUCAAAAAAAAAAAAAAAAAAAAAGUCCGGGCACGGUGGAUCACGCCUAUAAUCCCAGCACUUUGGGGGGCCGAGGCAGAUGGGUCAUGAGGUCAGGAGAUCGAGACCAUCCUGGCUAACAAGGUGAAAUCCCGUCUCUACUAAAAAUACAAAAAAUUAGCAUUAAGUAUCCUGAGAGAAGACCAGAUAAAAUGCUAUGAUUCAGCAUUAUUCCUAAAAUGGGUACCAGUUGAGCAAUACCUGCCAACUCUUAAUUUCUGCUUAAAUGCCCAACUGCAUAGUACAUGCUGUUAAAUUGAGGGGAUAGGUGAUAUCAUGUAAACCCAUGUCUUGUCCCUGCCAGCAAGGAAAUUGUGCUCUGUGACUUGACUUGGAAAGUAUGUAACUAAGACUGAGGAGAAUAAAUUGAUGUUUUCACCUCUCGUAUUUGCUUCUGAAGCAGAAAGUUUACUAAGCUAAAUCCUGAACUAGGAAUUAGUAAUACUAGUAAUAGCUAAUUGUUAAUAUAUAUACAGCUCUUAUAACAGUUUCUGGCAUAAUUACUAUACAAAUAUUAUUUCUUAUUCUUAUUGGGUGCUUACUGUAUGCCAGGCAAUGUUUUUAACCUCUUUAUGAGUUUUCACAAACCCCCUAGAAGUACUUGUAUUAUCCCCAUGAAGAAACAGGUCGAGAGAGUUUAAGUAAUCUGCUCAAGGUCAGAAAGUGAACAAAUGACAGGUCAGGCUUCAAACACAGACAGCCCAUGUGCUUGAACAGUGCUACUGGCCUCCCAGUACUUACUGAGGCCUACUCCUAUAAAAUUCUAUUGACUCCCUAAAGUGAUGGUGUAGGGAAUGCUAACUGAUGAUAAAGAAAAUAUGAAACACUGACAAAUCAUUUAGUGAGCAUUUCAUUAGUUAGUUGGCUUCCUCUUCUGUGACCUUGAAUUGAAACUCUACUGCAAACUAACUGGUUAGAGAAAAAUUUUAUUUGCAAAUAGUUUUAAAAGUUUCAAAGUAGGCCGGGCGCAGUGGCUCACGCCUGUAAUCCCAGCACUUUGGGAGGCUGAGGCGGGCGGAUCACAAGGUCAGGAGAUCGAGACCAUCCUGGCUAACAAGGUGAAACCCCGUCUCUACUAAAAAUACAAAAAAUUACCCGCGUGGUGGCAGGUGCCUGUAGUCCCAGCUACUCAGGAGGCUGAGGCAGGAGAACGGUGUGAACCUGGGAGGUGGAGCUUGCAGCGAGCUGAGGCUGUGCAGCUGCACUCCAGCCUGGGCGACAGAGUGAGACUCC
RNAcentral lists this long non-coding RNA (4494 nucleotides) under Homo sapiens (human). Its description in RNAcentral is "non-protein coding lnc-COPG1-3:2". The record is from RNAcentral. Lineage: Eukaryota; Metazoa; Chordata; Mammalia; Primates; Hominidae.